CCAAUAGCGUAUAUUAAAGUUGUUGCAGUUAAAAAGCUCGUAGUUGAAUUUUGGAUUCUGCCAGUUGGUCCAUCUUUUGAUGAGUACUGAUUGUGUGGGGUCUAUCCGCCUGGUGAUACGUAAUGUACUUUAUUGUAUGUUACGGGUAAUCAGGACCUUUACCUUGAAAAAAUUAGAGUGUUUAAAGCAGGCUUAUGCCGGAAUACAUUAGCAUGGAAUAAUAGAAUAGGACGAUGUUGUUUUAUUUUGUUGGUUUCUAGGACAACCGUAAUGAUUAAUAGGGAUAGUUGGGGGCAUUAGUAUUCAAUUGUCAGAGGUGAAAUUCUUGGAUUUAUUGAAGACUAACUACUGCGAAAGCAUUUGCCAAGGAUGUUUUCAUUAAUCAAGAACGAAAGUUAGGGGAUCGAAGACGAUCAGAUACCGUCGUAGUCUUAACCAUAAACUAUGCCGACUAGGGAUCGGGCGAUGUUGUUUCCAUGACUCGCUCGGCACCUUAUG
Molecule: ribosomal RNA, 498 nt
Filed under: uncultured Glomeromycotina
Lineage: Eukaryota; Fungi; Glomeromycota
Description: SSU rRNA
Rfam family: Eukaryotic small subunit ribosomal RNA
Source: RNAcentral